This 254-nucleotide ribosomal RNA is filed under the name Bacillus safensis. RNAcentral's name for it is "partial 23S ribosomal RNA". It matches the Rfam family "Bacterial large subunit ribosomal RNA", at positions 267 to 515 of the family's 2925-position model. Lineage: Bacteria; Bacillati; Bacillota; Bacilli; Caryophanales; Bacillaceae. The record is from RNAcentral.
GCCCAAACCAAGAGGCUUGCCUCUUGGGGUUGUAGGACACUCUAUACGGAGUUACAAAGGAAUGAUAUAAGCGAAGAGGUCUGGAAAGGCCCGCCAAAGAAGGUAACAGCCCUGUAACUGAAAUGUUGUUCUCUCCAGAGUGGAUCCUGAGUACGGCGGAACACGUGAAAUUCCGUCGGAAUCCGGGAGGACCAUCUCCCAAGGCUAAAUACUCCCUAGUGACCGAUAGUGAACCAGUACCGUGAGGGAAAGGU